UGGCGGUAGGCCUAACACAUGCAAGUCGAACGGCAGCACAGGAGAGCUUGCUCUCUGGGUGGCGAGUGGCGGACGGGUGAGGAAUACAUCGGAAUCUACUUUUUCGUGGGGGAUAACGUAGGGAAACUUACGCUAAUACCGCAUACGACCUACGGGUGAAAGCAGGGGAUCUUCGGACCUUGCGCGAUUGAAUGAGCCGAUGUCGGAUUAGCUAGUUGGCGGGGUAAAGGCCCACCAAGGCGACGAUCCGUAGCUGGUCUGAGAGGAUGAUCAGCCACACUGGAACUGAGACACGGUCCAGACUCCUACGGGAGGCAGCAGUGGGGAAUAUUGGACAAUGGGCGCAAGCCUGAUCCAGCCAUACCGCGUGGGUGAAGAAGGCCUUCGGGUUGUAAAGCCCUUUUGUUGGGAAAGAAAUCCAGCUGGUUAAUACCCGGUUGGGAUGACGGUACCCAAAGAAUAAGCACCGGCUAACUUCGUGCCAGCAGCCGCGGUAAUACGAAGGGUGCAAGCGUUACUCGGAAUUACUGGGCGUAAAGCGUGCGUAGGUGGUCGUUUAAGUCCGUUGUGAAAGCCCUGGGCUCAACCUGGGAACUGCAGUGGAUACUGGACGACUAGAGUGUGGUAGAGGGUAGCGGAAUUCCUGGUGUAGCAGUGAAAUGCGUAGAGAUCAGGAGGGACAUCCAUGGCGAAGGCAGCUACCUGGACCAACACUGACACUGAGGCACGAAAGCGUGGGGA
Molecule: ribosomal RNA, 741 nt
Filed under: uncultured bacterium
Lineage: Bacteria
Description: bacterial SSU rRNA
Rfam family: Bacterial small subunit ribosomal RNA
Source: RNAcentral